Helianthus annuus (common sunflower) is the source of this 594-nucleotide long non-coding RNA. RefSeq lists it as uncharacterized. The record is from RefSeq and is a predicted model, not a curated record. NCBI's taxonomy places the organism in Eukaryota, Viridiplantae, Streptophyta, Magnoliopsida, Asterales, Asteraceae. The transcript is spliced from 3 exons.
CCAAACGGGUCAAACGGUGAAAUUAUCACCCUUUGACAAUAUCGACUAAUGGGUUGUCAAGAUGCAUGAUUUUAGGAAAUAAAUAGCACAUGGAUGCUUACAUCGCUAUCGCUUAGCAACCACUAAGGAAAUGUAUUGAAAUGGGUCAAUAUAUUGAUCCGAGCCAGGUGAAGAUGGGAUAAGCGGUUUGAAAGAUACGAAAGUUUUCGUGCAAAUAAACGGCAAAAUAGGAAAGCUGGAAUGCAGGGGCCACCGUAACUUACGGUGCCACCGUAAGUUACGGUGGAGCUGAAGGCUUUACGGCAGCCCCCUACUGAUUUACGGUAGGGGCAUGUCACACCAGGGGCCACCGUAACUUACGGUGCCACCGUAAGUUACGGUGGAGGCCAGUUGGAAAUCCAUGUUUUGAGAUCAAAAGUUUAACGUUCUUUUUGGAUGCCGGAAGACGAUCAAGCUCAUCGAAGGACCGAACACGAUAAAGAUACAUGCUUCCGCACAUUUCCUCGUCGUAAAUUUUUAAACGACAAAUUCGAUCACUUAUGUUGAAUAACUUAUGAUUUGUAAAAGUUUUAAUAAACUCGUAUUUUCAUAGUA